RNAcentral lists this transfer RNA (65 nucleotides) under Metopaulias depressus. RNAcentral describes it as "tRNA-Gly". The record is from RNAcentral. Lineage: Eukaryota; Metazoa; Arthropoda; Malacostraca; Decapoda; Sesarmidae.
AUUUUUUUAAUAUAAAUAGUAUAUUUGAUUUCCAAUCAAAAAGUCUAAAUAAUUUAGAAAAAAUA